GAAUAGCUCAGUCAGUAGAGCGUAAGGCUCUUAAUCUCAGGGUUGUGGGUUCGAGCCCCACGUUGAGCA
Non-coding RNA from Podarcis lilfordi (Lilford's wall lizard), 69 nucleotides. The record is from the annotation of a GenBank genome assembly. Lineage: Eukaryota; Metazoa; Chordata; Lepidosauria; Squamata; Lacertidae.